Molecule: ribosomal RNA, 393 nt
Filed under: uncultured bacterium
Lineage: Bacteria
Description: partial 16S ribosomal RNA
Rfam family: Bacterial small subunit ribosomal RNA
Source: RNAcentral
AUACGGAAGGUCCGGGCGUUAUCCGGAUUUAUUGGGUUUAAAGGGAGCGCAGGCGGAGAUGCAAGCGUGACGUCAAAUUUCGGGGCUCAACCCCGUCUCGCGUCGCGAACUGCGUCCCUUGGUUGCGGGAAGGGGAGGCGGAACUCGUGGUGAAGCGGUGAAAUGCAUAGAUAUCACGAAGAACUCCGAUCGCGAAGGCAGCCUUCCGGCCCGUCAACAACGCUCAUGCUCGAAGGUGCGGGUAUCAAACAGGAGUAGAUACCCUGGUAGUCCGCACAGUAAACGAUGGACACCCGCGGUUUGGCCUAUAUGGCUGAGCCGCCAAGCGAAAGCGUUAAGUGUCCCACCUGGGGAGUACGCCGGCAACGGUGAAACUCAAAUGAAUUGGCGGGU